UGGGGAAUAUUGGACAAUGGGGGGAACCCUGAUCCAGCCAUGCCGCGUGUGUGAAGAAGGCCCUCGGGUUGUAAAGCACUUUCAGUGAGGAAGAACGCCUGGUGGUUAAUACCCAUCAGGAAAGACAUCACUCACAGAAGAAGCACCGGCUAACUCCGUGCCAGCAGCCGCGGUAAUACGGAGGGUGCGAGCGUUAAUCGGAAUUACUGGGCGUAAAGCGCGCGUAGGUGGCUUGAUAAGCCGGUUGUGAAAGCCCCGGGCUCAACCUGGGAACGGCAUCCGGAACUGUCAAGCUAGAGUGCAGGAGAGGAAGGUAGAAUUCCCGGUGUAGCGGUGAAAUGCGUAGAGAUCGGGAGGAAUACCAGUGGCGAAGGCGGCCUUCUGGACUGACACUGACACUGAGGUGCGAAAGCGUGGGUAGCAAACAGGA
This 430-nucleotide ribosomal RNA is filed under the name uncultured bacterium. RNAcentral describes it as "bacterial SSU rRNA". It matches the Rfam family "Bacterial small subunit ribosomal RNA", at positions 355 to 777 of the family's 1533-position model. The record is from RNAcentral.